GGGUUGUGAGGUUAAGCGACUAAGCGUACACGGUGGAUGCCCUGGCAGUCAGAGGCGAUGAAGGACGUGCUAAUCUGCGAUAAGCGUCGGUAAGGUGAUAUGAACCGUUAUAACCGGCGAUUUCCGAAUGGGGAAACCCAGUGUGUUUCGACACACUAUCAUUAACUGAAUCCAUAGGUUAAUGAGGCGAACCGGGGGAACUGAAACAUCUAAGUACCCCGAGGAAAAGAAAUCAACCGAGAUUCCCCCAGUAGCGGCGAGCGAACGGGGAGCAGCCCAGAGCCUGAAUCAGUGUGUGUGUUAGUGGAAGCGUCUGGAAAGGCGCGCGAUACAGGGUGACAGCCCCGUACACAAAAAUGCACAUGCUGUGAGCUCGAUGAGUAGGGCGGGACACGUGGUAUCCUGUCUGAAUAUGGGGGGACCAUCCUCCAAGGCUAAAUACUCCUGACUGACCGAUAGUGAACCAGUACCGUGAGGGAAAGGCGAAAAGAACCCCGGCGAGGGGAGUGAAAAAGAACCUGAAACCGUGUACGUACAAGCAGUGGGAGCACGCUUCGGCGUGUGACUGCGUACCUUUUGUAUAAUGGGUCAGCGACUUAUAUUCUGUAGCAAGGUUAACCGAAUAGGGGAGCCGAAGGGAAACCGAGUCUUAACUGGGCGUUAAGUUGCAGGGUAUAGACCCGAAACCCGGUGAUCUAGCCAUGGGCAGGUUGAAGGUUGGGUAACACUAACUGGAGGACCGAACCGACUAAUGUUGAAAAAUUAGCGGAUGACUUGUGGCUGGGGGUGAAAGGCCAAUCAAACCGGGAGAUAGCUGGUUCUCCCCGAAAGCUAUUUAGGUAGCGCCUCGUGAAUUCAUCUCCGGGGGUAGAGCACUGUUUCGGCAAGGGGGUCAUCCCGACUUACCAACCCGAUGCAAACUGCGAAUACCGGAGAAUGUUAUCACGGGAGACACACGGCGGGUGCUAACGUCCGUCGUGAAGAGGGAAACAACCCAGACCGCCAGCUAAGGUCCCAAAGUCAUGGUUAAGUGGGAAACGAUGUGGGAAGGCCCAGACAGCCAGGAUGUUGGCUUAGAAGCAGCCAUCAUUUAAAGAAAGCGUAAUAGCUCACUGGUCGAGUCGGCCUGCGCGGAAGAUGUAACGGGGCUAAACCAUGCACCGAAGCUGCGGCAGCGACACUGUGUGUUGUUGGGUAGGGGAGCGUUCUGUAAGCCUGUGAAGGUGUGCUGUGAGGCAUGCUGGAGGUAUCAGAAGUGCGAAUGCUGACAUAAGUAACGAUAAAGCGGGUGAAAAGCCCGCUCGCCGGAAGACCAAGGGUUCCUGUCCAACGUUAAUCGGGGCAGGGUGAGUCGACCCCUAAGGCGAGGCCGAAAGGCGUAGUCGAUGGGAAACAGGUUAAUAUUCCUGUACUUGGUGUUACUGCGAAGGGGGGACGGAGAAGGCUAUGUUGGCCGGGCGACGGUUGUCCCGGUUUAAGCGUGUAGGCUGGUUUUCCAGGCAAAUCCGGAAAAUCAAGGCUGAGGCGUGAUGACGAGGCACUACGGUGCUGAAGCAACAAAUGCCCUGCUUCCAGGAAAAGCCUCUAAGCAUCAGGUAACAUCAAAUCGUACCCCAAACCGACACAGGUGGUCAGGUAGAGAAUACCAAGGCGCUUGAGAGAACUCGGGUGAAGGAACUAGGCAAAAUGGUGCCGUAACUUCGGGAGAAGGCACGCUGAUAUGUAGGUGAAGUCCCUCGCGGAUGGAGCUGAAAUCAGUCGAAGAUACCAGCUGGCUGCAACUGUUUAUUAAAAACACAGCACUGUGCAAACACGAAAGUGGACGUAUACGGUGUGACGCCUGCCCGGUGCCGGAAGGUUAAUUGAUGGGGUCAGCGCAAGCGAAGCUCUUGAUCGAAGCCCCGGUAAACGGCGGCCGUAACUAUAACGGUCCUAAGGUAGCGAAAUUCCUUGUCGGGUAAGUUCCGACCUGCACGAAUGGCGUAAUGAUGGCCAGGCUGUCUCCACCCGAGACUCAGUGAAAUUGAACUCGCUGUGAAGAUGCAGUGUACCCGCGGCAAGACGGAAAGACCCCGUGAACCUUUACUAUAGCUUGACACUGAACAUUGAGCCUUGAUGUGUAGGAUAGGUGGGAGGCUUAGAAGUGUGGACGCCAGUCUGCAUGGAGCCGACCUUGAAAUACCACCCUUUAAUGUUUGAUGUUCUAACGUUGACCCGUAAUCCGGGUUGCGGACAGUGUCUGGUGGGUAGUUUGACUGGGGCGGUCUCCUCCUAAAGAGUAACGGAGGAGCACGAAGGUUGGCUAAUCCUGGUCGGACAUCAGGAGGUUAGUGCAAUGGCAUAAGCCAGCUUGACUGCGAGCGUGACGGCGCGAGCAGGUGCGAAAGCAGGUCAUAGUGAUCCGGUGGUUCUGAAUGGAAGGGCCAUCGCUCAACGGAUAAAAGGUACUCCGGGGAUAACAGGCUGAUACCGCCCAAGAGUUCAUAUCGACGGCGGUGUUUGGCACCUCGAUGUCGGCUCAUCACAUCCUGGGGCUGAAGUAGGUCCCAAGGGUAUGGCUGUUCGCCAUUUAAAGUGGUACGCGAGCUGGGUUUAGAACGUCGUGAGACAGUUCGGUCCCUAUCUGCCGUGGGCGCUGGAGAACUGAGGGGGGCUGCUCCUAGUACGAGAGGACCGGAGUGGACGCAUCACUGGUGUUCGGGUUGUCAUGCCAAUGGCACUGCCCGGUAGCUAAAUGCGGAAGAGAUAAGUGCUGAAAGCAUCUAAGCACGAAACUUGCCCCGAGAUGAGUUCUCCCUGACCCUUUAAGGGUCCUGAAGGAACGUUGAAGACGACGACGUUGAUAGGCCGGGUGUGUAAGCGCAGCGAUGCGUUGAGCUAACCGGUACUAAUGAACCGUGAGGCUUAACCUUACAACGCCGAAGGUGUUU
Molecule: ribosomal RNA, 2930 nt
Filed under: Escherichia coli
Lineage: Bacteria; Pseudomonadati; Pseudomonadota; Gammaproteobacteria; Enterobacterales; Enterobacteriaceae
Description: 23S ribosomal RNA
Rfam family: Bacterial large subunit ribosomal RNA
Source: RNAcentral